UGAGGAAUAUUGGGCAAUGGGCGCAAGCCUGACCCAGCAACGCCGCGUGAAGGAUGAAGGCCUUCGGGUUGUAAACCUUUGUUAUAAAGGACGAAGAUAGUGACGGUACUUUAUAAGGAAGCCCCGGCUAACUAUGUGCCAGCAGCCGCGGUAAGACAUAGGGGGCAAGCGUUGUCCGGAAUCACUGGGCGUAAAGGGAGCGUAGUCGGUUAAUUAAGUCACGUGUGAAAGCCUUGGGCUUAACCCAAGAAUUGCACUUGAUACUGGUUAACUAGAGUGUUGGAGAGGUAAGUGGAAUUCCUAGUGUAGCGGUAAAAUGCGUAGAUAUUAGGAGGAACAUCAGAGGCGAAGGCGGCUUACUGGACAAUAACUGACGAUGAGGCUCGAAAGUGUGGGA
This 397-nucleotide ribosomal RNA is filed under the name uncultured Peptococcus sp. RNAcentral describes it as "bacterial SSU rRNA". It matches the Rfam family "Bacterial small subunit ribosomal RNA", at positions 355 to 766 of the family's 1533-position model. The record is from RNAcentral. Lineage: Bacteria; Bacillati; Bacillota; Clostridia; Eubacteriales; Peptococcaceae.